This 248-nucleotide ribosomal RNA is filed under the name uncultured bacterium. Its description in RNAcentral is "partial 16S ribosomal RNA". It matches the Rfam family "Archaeal small subunit ribosomal RNA", at positions 474 to 727 of the family's 1478-position model. The record is from RNAcentral.
UACCAGCACCCCGAGUGGUCGGGACGAUUAUUGGGCCUAAAGCAUCCGUAGCCGGUCAUGCAAGUCUUCCGUUAAAUCCAGCCGCUCAACGGUUGGGCUGCGGAGGAUACUACGUGGCUAGGAGGCGGGAGAGGCAAGCGGUACUCAGUGGGUAGGGGUAAAAUCCUUUGAUCCAUUGAAGACCACCAGUGGCGAAGGCGGCUUGCCAGAACGCGCUCGACGUGAGGAUGAAGCUGGGGAGCAACCGG